RNAcentral lists this ribosomal RNA (485 nucleotides) under uncultured bacterium. RNAcentral describes it as "partial 16S ribosomal RNA". It matches the Rfam family "Bacterial small subunit ribosomal RNA", at positions 899 to 1397 of the family's 1533-position model. The record is from RNAcentral.
ACUCAAAGGAAUAGACGGGGGCCCGCACAAGCAGCGGAGCGUGUGGUUUAAUUCGAUGCAACGCGAAGAACCUUACCCAGGCUUGACAUGCACGUGGUACUGAGGGGAAACCUGAGGGACCCGCGAGGGAGCGUGCACAGGUGCUGCACGGCUGUCGUCAGCUCGUGCCGUGAGGUGUUGGGUUAAGUCCCGCAACGAGCGCAACCCCCGCGGCCAGUUACGAAGUCUGGUCGGACCGCCGGGACUAACCCGGAGGAAGGUGGGGACGACGUCAAGUCAGCGUGGCCCUUACGUCUGGGGCGACACACACGCUACAAUGGUCGGGACAAAGGGCAGCGAGGGGGCGACCCGGAGCGAAUCCCAACAAACCCGGCCCCAGUUCGGAUCGGAGGCUGAAACUCGCCUCCGUGAAGUCGGAGUUGCUAGUAACCGCCGGUCAGCACACGGCGGUGAAUGCGUUCCCGGGCCUUGUACACACCGCCCGU